GAUGAACGCUAGCGGCAGGCUUAAUACAUGCAAGUCGUGCGCCCCGCAAGGGGAGCGGCAGACGGGUGAGUAACGCGUGGGAAUCUACCGAGCCCUGCGGAAUAGCUCCGGGAAACUGGAAUAAUACCGCAUACGCCCUACGGGGGAAAGAUUUAUCGGGGUUUGAUGAGCCCGCGUUGGAUUAGCUAGUUGGUGGGGUA
This 200-nucleotide ribosomal RNA is filed under the name uncultured bacterium. Its description in RNAcentral is "partial 16S ribosomal RNA". It matches the Rfam family "Bacterial small subunit ribosomal RNA", at positions 28 to 259 of the family's 1533-position model. The record is from RNAcentral.